Brassica napus (rape) is the source of this 305-nucleotide long non-coding RNA. RefSeq lists it as uncharacterized. The record is from RefSeq and is a predicted model, not a curated record. NCBI's taxonomy places the organism in Eukaryota, Viridiplantae, Streptophyta, Magnoliopsida, Brassicales, Brassicaceae. The transcript is spliced from 3 exons.
AGCCAAUGUCUCGUAUGCUGGAAGUGAGCCGGGAAGUUCAAGUGUUGCUGGAAGCUCAGGCCAAGCUGGAGAGGGCGGGACACGUGAGCCUGGAGAUAGCAAGGCCCUGGUGACUUACACACCUCAGCCAAGCCUUCAGAACAACCGUGAGAACGAGUACCUAAGGAGAUCAGACAUUGACUCCCUCAUCAAAAUGCUAAAAGAGAAUGGUAACACACUUGGUACUCUUGGUUACUCCUUUGGUGCAUCAUAUGAAUCGUGUAGUAUUGCUAGAGAACCUGAUCAUUCAAGCAUUGCUUAUAAAC